AUACGGAGGAUCCGAGCGUUAUCCGGAUUUAUUGGGUUUAAAGGGAGCGUAGGCGGACUAUUAAGUCAGCUGUGAAAGUUUGCGGCUCAACCGUAAAAUUGCAGUUGAUACUGGUCGUCUUGAGUGCAGUAGAGGUAGGCGGAAUUCGUGGUGUAGCGGUGAAAUGCUUAGAUAUCACGAAGAACUCCGAUUGCGAAGGCAGCUUACUGGACUGUAACUGACGCUGAUGCUCGAAAGUGUGGGUAUCAAACAGGAUUAGAUACCCUGGUAGUCCACACAGUAAACGAUGAAUACUCGCUGUUUGCGAUAUACGGCAAGCGGCCGAGCGAAAGCAUUAAGUAUUCCACCUGGGGAGUACGCCGGCAACGGUGAAACUCAAAUGAAUUGACGGG
RNAcentral lists this ribosomal RNA (392 nucleotides) under uncultured bacterium. RNAcentral describes it as "partial 16S ribosomal RNA". It matches the Rfam family "Bacterial small subunit ribosomal RNA", at positions 523 to 917 of the family's 1533-position model. The record is from RNAcentral.